UACGGAAGGCAGCAGUGGGGAAUAUUGGACAAUGGGCGAAAGCCUGAUCCAGCCAUGCCGCGUGUGUGAAGAAGGUCUUCGGAUUGUAAAGCACUUUAAGUUGGGAGGAAGGGCAGUAAAUUAAUACUUUGCUGUUUUUGACGUUACCGACAGAAUAAGCACCGGCUAACUCUGUGCCAGCAGCCGCGGUAAUACAGAGGGUGCAAGCGUUAAUCGGAAUUACUGGGCGUAAAGCGCGCGUAGGUGGUUCGUUAAGUUGGAUGUGAAAUCCCCGGGCUCAACCUGGGAACUGCAUUCAAAACUGACGAGCUAGAGUAUGGUAGAGGGUGGUGGAAUUUUCCUGUGUAGCGGUGAAAUGCGUAGAUAUAGGAAGGAACACCAGUGGCGAAGGCGACCACCUGGGACUGAUACUGACACUGAGGUGCGAAAGCGUGGGGAGCAAACAGGAUUAGAUACC
Molecule: ribosomal RNA, 457 nt
Filed under: uncultured bacterium
Lineage: Bacteria
Description: bacterial SSU rRNA
Rfam family: Bacterial small subunit ribosomal RNA
Source: RNAcentral